AGUGGAUGGUGUGCUGGAGAUGUGUUCUUGAAGCAAGAUGGGAUGUUCCCAAUACCAUUUCCUGAAAAGAGCACCUUUUCCAAACGCUUUCAGAAAAAUCUAUGGCUACCUGGAAGCUCA
Eptesicus fuscus (big brown bat) is the source of this 120-nucleotide long non-coding RNA. RefSeq lists it as uncharacterized. NCBI's taxonomy places the organism in Eukaryota, Metazoa, Chordata, Mammalia, Chiroptera, Vespertilionidae. The transcript is spliced from 3 exons. The record is from RefSeq and is a predicted model, not a curated record.